UAGUCCACGCCGUAAACGAUGAUAACUAGCUGUUCGGGCCCACAGGGCUUGAGUGGCGCAGCUAACGCAUUAAGUUAUCCGCCUGGGGAGUACGGUCGCAAGAUUAAAACUCAAAGGAAUUGACGGGGGCCUGCACAAGCGGUGGAGCAUGUGGUUUAAUUCGACGCAACGCGCAGAACCUUACCAGCUUUUGACAUCCUGGUCGCGGAUUUGGGAGACCAUUUCCUUCAGUUCGGCUGGACCAGUGACAGGUGCUGCAUGGCUGUCGUCAGCUCGUGUCGUGAGAUGUUGGGUUAAGUCCCGCAACGAGCGCAACCCUCAUCCUUAGUUGCCAGCAUUUAGUUGGGCACUCUAAGGAAACUGCCGGUGAUAAGCCGAGAAGUGGGAUGACGUCAAGUCCUCAUGGCCCUUACAAGCUGGGCUACGACACGUGCUACAAUGGUAGAUACAGAGGGUCGCGAAACCGUGAGGUGGAGCUAAUCCCAGAAAGUCUAUCCC
RNAcentral lists this ribosomal RNA (498 nucleotides) under uncultured bacterium. RNAcentral describes it as "bacterial SSU rRNA". It matches the Rfam family "Bacterial small subunit ribosomal RNA", at positions 791 to 1289 of the family's 1533-position model. The record is from RNAcentral.